GGAGUUGUAGCUCAGAGGUAGAGCACUCGCCUAGCAUGAGUGAGGCACUGGGUUCGAGCCUCAGCACCA
Molecule: transfer RNA, 69 nt
Filed under: Marmota marmota marmota (Alpine marmot)
Lineage: Eukaryota; Metazoa; Chordata; Mammalia; Rodentia; Sciuridae
Also listed under: 1 other name
Rfam family: tRNA
About the family: Transfer RNA (tRNA) molecules are approximately 80 nucleotides in length. Their secondary structure includes four short double-helical elements and three loops (D, anti-codon, and T loops).
Source: Rfam by way of RNAcentral